Molecule: unclassified non-coding RNA, 253 nt
Filed under: uncultured Pseudomonadaceae bacterium
Lineage: Bacteria; Pseudomonadati; Pseudomonadota; Gammaproteobacteria; Pseudomonadales; Pseudomonadaceae
Description: contains 16S-23S intergenic spacer region
Rfam family: Bacterial small subunit ribosomal RNA
Source: RNAcentral
UACAGAGGGUGCAAGCGUUAAUCGGAAUUACUGGGCGUAAAGCGCGCGUAGGUGGUUUGUUAAGUUGGAUGUGAAAGCCCCGGGCUCAACCUGGGAACUGCAUCCAAAACUGGCAAGCUAGAGUACGGUAGAGGGUGGUGGAAUUCCGCGUGUAGCAGUGAAAUGCGUAGAUAUGCGGAGGAACACCGAUGGCGAAGGCGACCACCUGGACUGAUACUGACACUGAGGUGCGAAAGCGUGGGGAGCAAACAGG